This is a long non-coding RNA of Mandrillus leucophaeus (drill), 899 nucleotides long. RefSeq lists it as uncharacterized. Lineage: Eukaryota; Metazoa; Chordata; Mammalia; Primates; Cercopithecidae. The record is from RefSeq and is a predicted model, not a curated record. The transcript is spliced from 2 exons.
CUAUUUGUAUUUUUAACACCAUUCUCCCCCACCUCUUUCCUGGGUGACAUAAGCAUAAGAGAGAAAUAACCGGUAGUACAGCAGCUAAAGUAUUCUCCUUUCAGAGAAUUUUUUUGGAGGUCUCUAAUAUAUAUUUCCCCCUUGUUUCUGUGAUCUCUUUUAUACUAUAUUAUUGUCCCAUGUACUUUCUAAAGUGAGCUUGGGACAUUUAGUAUUCCUGCAAUUGGACUUUGCACUUGACAGUUAUACAGACUUUCCUUUUAGAAAUAGAUGAGGUUCCAAACAGAAAGUUCAAGUGUAACAAUAACAAUAAGAAUAAAUAGAUUAGGAAAUAGGCCAUAAUUUGCUCUUUUGGAUUUGGUAGGGGCAAGAUGAAAGGCAACUUUCUUGCUUUUGAAAUCAUGUUGGAUAAGAGGUAAGGAAUCCAGCUACAAUUUUAUUAGUGCUUGAAACGGGCUUCCUUGAAUUCUGCAGGCCCUAUCAUUUUUUUUUUUUUUUUCUUACUAAUCAGAAGAGAGCUGGGAUAGAAGCCCCAUCUUUGUAUUCCAUGAAACACGUUGGGUUGGAGUAAAGGCAAAAACAGCUAGACAUACCAGGUGUGUCUGUUUGUAUUGAUAUUUAUAAGCUGGCACUCGUCAACACUCCUGUUUCUCCUGUGCUCCCUUCUCUGGGAAGAAGUAUGGGUUAAGGGGUGUGAGUUGUGGGAAGAAUUGUCCUCGUACCUCCUGGAUUUAUUAUGUUUCUCAAAUACCAACCAGUAAGAUCCCAAAUAACUUGAGAAAAAUUGUUUCCUGAUCUGUCCACUUCUGGUGUCAAAGAUUUUACUCAUCUUCUUAGUACAUUCUAUGUAUUUUAUAUGUAUAAUUUUAUACAAUUAAAAAUAGAUUUUUGUCUAGUGA